This 206-nucleotide non-coding RNA is filed under the name Colwellia sp. Its description in RNAcentral is "Lysine sequence". It matches the Rfam family "Lysine riboswitch aptamer". From Rfam's summary of the family: Riboswitches are metabolite binding domains within certain messenger RNAs that serve as precision sensors for their corresponding targets. Allosteric rearrangement of mRNA structure is mediated by ligand binding, and this results in modulation of gene expression. The record is from RNAcentral. Lineage: Bacteria; Pseudomonadati; Pseudomonadota; Gammaproteobacteria; Alteromonadales; Colwelliaceae.
AACACCAGAAGAGGAGCGAUAACUAGGUAAAUAGCGUUAUACCGAAAGGUAUUAGGAACCACAUUCUGAUCAACGUUAUUGAGGGAGUUUAUCGCCGAGAGUUCCAAGCGUGUGGCGUUUGCAGCUCGGUCGCUAAGGCUGAAUCCUUAGGGCUGUCACCUGUCUUUAACUGUCUGAAAAGACAAAGGUGGAGAGCUUCUGGCUGA